UUAAUAAUAAUAAUAAUAUUAAAAUUUAUAUAAUGAAUAUUAUAAAACAAAAACAUGAUAUUGAUAGAAGUAUCACUCAAGAUACGGUAGAUAAAAUAUAGGAAUUUAGCUACAACACUUAAUUAAUUUUUUUUAACAUAUAUCAAUUUUAAUUAUAAAUUUAAUUCUAUAAAGUUAUUUUUAUUCAAACAUGAUGAUUGCAUUACGAUAUUCAUUUUUUAUUGAAGUUAUUAAUCUUGGAGUAAUAUCAUAUAAAGAUUUUGCACCAAUACACCUAAUCGUCCAUCAAUACACUGCCCUUGACAAUCUACGACUUCGGUACAAGAUGCUUCUAAUUUCAUGCACAUAUCUGCAUAUACAAAUAAUGUUCGUAAACAUUAUAUUAAUUUUAUAUGCAAAGAUUACAACAUACUGAAAAGACGUUUUUAUAAAUUAUCCAUGGAUUUUUAACGUGAUGCGUAGAAGAAAAAGCUAAUAAGAAUAUCAUUAUCAGAGCAUAAAUCUUUGUAGUAACCAUCUUGUAUAUAUAACAUAUUAUAUUUUACAUAUAUUUAUUAUUUAAAGAUGCAUGAGAUGAGAUGUGACUCAAUCUUGACCAUAUUAAUUAGUUAAAAUUGGUUUAUAAAAUUUAAAAUAACUUUUACUCUAUAUAGAGAAAAUUACACUAAUACAUUUUUAACAAAUAUACGGUAAUACAUUUAAAACAAUCAGAAUAAAUAUAUUCAAUAAAAACAUUUUAAACUAUAUACUAUUAGUUAUUUAAUUAUUAUUUAAAUAUAAUAACACGUUAAAUAUAAUAUAUUCUAAUUAUAUUAUAUUUAAAAAGUUAUUUUUUUAUUAAUUAAAAUAGUUUGAAAGUUUAAUUUAAAAUUAUAUUUGAAGAAGUUAAACUUCGUAAUUUGAUAUUAGAAGGCAUAGAUCUUACAAUUAAAGUAACACAUUGACAAUGGCUUGUCCUUUAUUUUAGUUAUAAUUUUUUUAUAAAGUCUCUUCUAUUGAAAAAAGAAGCAUUACAAAAAGAAAGGUAAAGUCUAAGGUCCAUUGAAAAGAAGAAACUCUAAAAGAAGGCAUUCCUAGUCUAUUUUUACAAAAUCCUUUUUAUGGCAAUAGGUAUGAAAAAAAAAUAUAUGAUACUUUCAAAACAAUGACUCUUUUUUUAGAAAAAUAGUAUAUUUUUAGUAUANUAAGGUCCAUUGAAAAGAAGAAACUCUAAAAGAAGGCAUUCCUAGUCUAUUUUUACAAAAUCCUUUUUAUGGCAAUAGGUAUGAAAAAAAAAUAUAUGAUACUUUCAAAACAAUGACUCUUUUUUUAGAAAAAUAGUAUAUUUUUAGUAUAUGAUUAGAAAAUUUAUGUUUUAAAUUUUUUCUUUUCGUGUUUGUUAUUUUCACCUUUUUUUUUCUUUAAAUUGUAUUUUUUUUUAUUUAUAUUUAAUCUUAUUUUGAGACCCCUCACCCACACCCACACGUAUUCAUACAUGACUUCUUUUAAAAAGUAAAUAACAAGAAUUUUUACAAUUUUAAAAUUUCAAAUAAAUUAAAUAAUAUAAAGGUAAAGUCUAUAACAAAGGACAAAAGAUAUUAGAAAUAUUGUAUUAGAAGUUUUAUCAAGGGUGUGGCAAUGAGAAAAAGCUUUAAAAGAUCCACCUAACACUCACAUUCACCGACAACUUAAUGAUUACUAUACUGUUUCAACUAAAUAUUAUUAGUGACAACCAUGAGACGACGAGUAACAAUUAUGAGUAAUUUAAAAUUUCUUCUAAUGUACUCUUAAACAAUUCACUUUUACAUAUCUCAUAUUUGGGAGUUGUGCCCUAGCAUAAAAACUUAGAAUAUAAAACUAAGUGCACGAGCCUAUGGCCUAAUCCUAGAUUCCACACUUUUGGUCAAGUGUCUGAACCCACGAACGCAAAUAACCAUUAUAUCGUAGCUAUAAUACUGAGAAGUAAUUGACUUCCUUCUUCACAUUUUUGUCCUUUUACAAACGUAAGUGUUUUUAAUACUAUAUGUAUUUACAUGCCACAAUAGAUUUUCUAACAGGGUUCGAGGUAGCUACUAUACCUCUAAAAAUAAGAUUGUCAACUUUACGCACCUAAUCAUAAUAGUAAAACACCCAUACUUUUGAUCAUAAAACACAAUGGUGGAAGAACUCCUCCAAGACACACUUAAAUACUAAAUGGUAUAGUUCAUUAUAUACUUCUUAUCACUUGUUUAUAAAUAGUUUAUUGCAAACAUGUUAUUCUACCAUUAUAUUUAUUAAAAUUGAUUUUUCUUAUUGAUGACAUAAUUUUUAGAUUAUAUUUAUUUCUAUAACACUUUCAAGAGAACGAAGAUAAAAAUACACAAAUGUGUAUACCGGUUAAAAUAGAAGAAACACUAAAUG
This 2379-nucleotide long non-coding RNA is filed under the name Lathyrus oleraceus (garden pea). RNAcentral's name for it is "Pisum sativum (pea) long non-coding RNA (PSAT_LNC021631)". Lineage: Eukaryota; Viridiplantae; Streptophyta; Magnoliopsida; Fabales; Fabaceae. The record is from RNAcentral.